Molecule: non-coding RNA, 994 nt
Filed under: Pongo abelii (Sumatran orangutan)
Lineage: Eukaryota; Metazoa; Chordata; Mammalia; Primates; Hominidae
Source: RNAcentral
UUAGAGACGGAAUUGGCGUCGGGGGUGUGGGUGGGGGGGUGGGGGCGAUAUCUCACUUUGUUGCCUAGGCUGGUCUCGGACUCCUGGCUUCAAGGGAUCCUCCUGCCUUGGCCUCUUAAAGUGCUGGGAUUACAGGCGUGAGCCACCGCCUCCGGCCGCCUCUGAGUUUCCAGCUUCGUUGGCCCUCCAGCCUUUUAAGCUGUUGGGCCUAGGAUCAGGAAAGGUUUGUUGAAUGGGGAACUAAGAAAUGAAUUCGUUCGUUCGACAAACGUUUCCUGAGCAGCCGCUGGGUGCUAGGCGCGGUGCCAGCGCGGAAUGUCCAGGGAGACCUGGUGCCCAAAGCUUGGACCCAGCGUGAGAAAUGAGAAGCAGAUACAAAGUAGUGUGGGAGUGCAGAGGAGACAAAGCAAGCCUCAUUAGGCCCAUUGCUUGCUCUGCUCUCCCUUGUACUUACCGGUGCUUGACAAUAUACAGUUAUUUACUAGCUUGGUUAUUGACUUCCCUACCUGGCACUCAACUUUAUUCACUGCUGUAUCCUCAGUGCCUAGGACGAUGCUUGGAACGUGAUUCAUUGAUUCCAGGUAAAUCAGAGGAACAAGCAACAUGAACAGAAAUAUGUAGAAAAUGCUAUUAUGCAGAAGCAUAAUUGUUGUUUCAGAAGUCCAGCAUCUGAUGCACUUAACAAUAGAGAAUAUAUUAAACUCUUUCCAAAAUAACCUGUUGUUCAUGCCUGUGUUGGAAGUGUUUUGUUUGUUUUUAAGUAAAUAUUGGUGAUUUGUUGCCAAAAACCUAAACUGUUUAUUGCUGUCAACUUAAAUAACGAACAGAGAGAGGCUCUCUAAAAGAAAAUGGCAUUUAUUCAGGAAUAGAGCAUUGCAAUGAGAAAAUGCAUGCGAUAGUUAACUGUGUGUAUCCUGGGAGAUAGAGAAAGACAAAGAUCUUCAAAGGAAAAAUUAGGAGGGUUACAUAAUUGUUUUGAGAUAAUUAUUUUUGA